CUUGCAGUUGCCGAAAAGCCUUACAUUCAAUAGAUCGAUAUAAUUUCACAGUGUUCUGUAUAUAUCUCUAAGUUUUUUAGGAAUUUUAGUUUCAGAGAAUCAACAACUGUUACUGCAGCCAUGGAUUAGAGAUUUAAAAUGCUCGAUUUGCCUAGAGUUCAGGUGGCAAGGAAGCUUUGAUUUUGAUGCCCAGAGUUAGAAAGCCUAAUUAUACCUUUGUAGAGAUACUGCUCUUC
Coffea arabica (coffee) is the source of this 236-nucleotide non-coding RNA. Lineage: Eukaryota; Viridiplantae; Streptophyta; Magnoliopsida; Gentianales; Rubiaceae. The record is from RefSeq and is a predicted model, not a curated record.